CGAGGUGUGUAGGUUGGCCUUUAAAUGGUGGAAGGUGUCAGCGGGGGACCCGCGUCCUGAGGCAGAGAUGAGCAGGGACAUCUGUCAUUGGAUUUAUGACCCAACUGAAAGUCCAGGGGAUUUCAUCUCAAGAUCCUAAAACUAACGGCAUCUGCAAAGACCCCUCUCGAAGACCUCAGAUGGCACCAUAUCUGGAGACAGGCUCUGUACAGAGACGAUACUGCUGGAAUGAGGUCAUUAGAGUGCACUCUAUAGCAACUGGAAUGGUAGAAAGAGGAAAU
Molecule: long non-coding RNA, 281 nt
Organism: Suricata suricatta (meerkat)
Lineage: Eukaryota; Metazoa; Chordata; Mammalia; Carnivora; Herpestidae
Exons: 3
Source: RefSeq, a predicted model, not a curated record